This 501-nucleotide ribosomal RNA is filed under the name uncultured bacterium. Its description in RNAcentral is "partial 16S ribosomal RNA". It matches the Rfam family "Bacterial small subunit ribosomal RNA", at positions 28 to 507 of the family's 1533-position model. The record is from RNAcentral.
GGCGAACGCUGGCGGCGUGCCUAAUACAUGCAAGUCGAGCGGACCGGAUUGGGGCUUGCCUUGAUUCGGUCAGCGGCGGACGGGUGAGUAACACGUGGGCAACCUGCCCGCAAGACCGGGAUAACUCCGGGAAACCGGAGCUAAUACCGGAUAACACCGAAGACCGCAUGGUCUUCGGUUGAAAGGCGGCCUUUGGGCUGUCACUUGCGGAUGGGCCCGCGGCGCAUUAGCUAGUUGGUGAGGUAACGGCUCACCAAGGCGACGAUGCGUAGCCGGCCUGAGAGGGUGACCGGCCACACUGGGACUGAGACACGGCCCAGACUCCUACGGGAGGCAGCAGUAGGGAAUCUUCCGCAAUGGGCGAAAGCCUGACGGAGCGACGCCGCGUGAGCGAAGAAGGCCUUCGGGUCGUAAAGCUCUGUUGUGAGGGACGAAGGAGCGUCGUUCGAAGAGGGCGGCGCGGUGACGGUACCUCACGAGAAAGCCCCGGCUAACUACGUG